Molecule: long non-coding RNA, 229 nt
Filed under: Sorghum bicolor (sorghum)
Lineage: Eukaryota; Viridiplantae; Streptophyta; Magnoliopsida; Poales; Poaceae
Description: long non-coding RNA (SBIC_LNC004235)
Source: RNAcentral
UCAAACUUUUGAUUUAGCACUAGGAAAAUGGAAAAUUUAUCCACAAAAAACUAUGAAACUCCCAAAACAUUCUAUGUGAUGUCUAAACGCCGAGUGUUUUGGAAACUUUCCACAAUAAAACAUAAUACACAACUAGCACAAUGCACAUCAUGAAUGCAUUCAAUAUUAAUGUUUAUUACAUCUGGUUGCAUCUCAUAUGUUUGUAUUCAAAAAAAAAAAAGUUGGACAC